AACACACCCGUCUCUAUUCCCCUCAAGAAGGUUCUGGAAGAACCUAGGAGACGACGCUAUUUCCACCACUAAGGCCACCUCAUCUCGCCAUUUUUGGAAAGGAUUAAGGCCAAAGGACAAGCGGUCAGGAGCGUUAAAGCAUUUCAGGCACGAGCAUUAAUUGCCCUACCCAUUUUCGUCUAACACUACCACAUUUUUUGCCCAAACAAGGUAUUUAAUCCCUUUUUCUUCUCUAUUUUCAUUCACUACUGUCAAGCCAUAAUGGGUCUUGUUGGAUUUUGAAAAAGAAAGGUCAAUUUUCAUUGUUUCACCCAUGAAGGGUUGGAUCGGUCAAGACGAAAUUGAGCCGUAGACCAUUGAUUUUUUUUCUUUAGCAGAUCUCAGCCGUUUGUUUGAAAUUACAAGGGAAAACCGCCCAGUUUGAUCUAGUCCCACAGCGAUAUUCUUAGUCCUCUGAAUGAAUUUUGGGGUUCUAUAAAUAGAACCCCAUCCCUCACCAAAAAACAAGUUUUUUCACAACCAAGAGGCUUGAACUUUGAGUUUUACUCGAAAUUUAAGCUUCAUCAGUAAAAUUUUAGACUUCUAUUAAAGGGUUCGAGUCUUUUCUAGUUCUAAAAUUUAUUUCCUUUUUGUGCUUUGUGUGGCUGAGAGUGGAAUUUGGAAGCACCAAGGUCUUCAAAUCCAUUCUUGUUCAUGGCUGCGCUCAAACAAGCUAACCUGUUAGGACAAGGCCCAAUAGGAAAUUCCUUCGUAAUUAUUGUGUCAGCGAAGGUAGGAGCUAAUAUUAAAAGAAACGCGUAGAAGGCCCAGCCAUGGGUGAAAAUAUCCAACUAGGGGCUUGGUACGCCCCUAGCCUUUCCUCUCUUUUAUUUUAUUUAUGUUGUUUUCUUUAAAGGUGCAUUUUGUGGUAUAUUUGUACAUGGUUGUAAAAACUCAUACAUACAUAUAUUGGAAUCUUUAUUGUUUGAA
Molecule: long non-coding RNA, 969 nt
Organism: Lycium barbarum (goji berry)
Lineage: Eukaryota; Viridiplantae; Streptophyta; Magnoliopsida; Solanales; Solanaceae
Exons: 2
Source: RefSeq, a predicted model, not a curated record